RNAcentral lists this long non-coding RNA (268 nucleotides) under Phoenix dactylifera (date palm). RNAcentral describes it as "long non-coding RNA (PDAC_LNC012066)". Lineage: Eukaryota; Viridiplantae; Streptophyta; Magnoliopsida; Arecales; Arecaceae. The record is from RNAcentral.
CGCGGGGAAGGAUGUGGAGGGGAUCACGCGGUAUGUUCCAAAACAGGGAGGGGAAGAGAGUAAAUAUGAUGUGGGAGAUGAAUGCGUGAGAGUUAUUAUAUAUAUUUAUAUAUAUAUAUAUAUUUUAUUUAUUAUUAUUAUUAUUAUUAUUUUAUUAUUUGUUUGAAAAGUGGUUGGGGUCCACUCGGGUAGGUUGGAAGGGCUUGGUCCUGAAUCUAAAAUAGAGGAAGUUUGGACACGUGGAGAAAAUGGGAGAGGCCUCUGUUUU